GACCAGGUGGUUCUCUUUGGCGUCCUCACGCGUGAACUUGAUGUUGGGAUCCACAGUAUUGAUAUGCUCUGAGAACACUUCCAAGUCUUGUUUCUUGAUUUUCACAAAGGUGUCAUCCACUUAGCGGUGGAAACUGUUGUUGUAUUGGGCUGUAAGCCUUGGCUCCACCUCAGAACCGUGGCGUCAGUUUAAUUCAAGCAAACUGUGAAAGCCGUCUAUAUGGAAGCAAAUUAAGGUCAUUAAUAUUCUGAGCUUGUGAAAUGUUCACAAAUCAUUUCACAGCCUGCAGUUGUACAUCACCUUUUGUGUGCAUGUGAAAAAAAGUUGCAUGCACAUAUCUGAAAAAAAGUUUUGCAGCUGUAGAAAUAUUUUGUGUUUGUGUAAUUAAAAUAUGUGCAGGAAUAUUUUCAACAGUGAGGUUUCACACAGUCUGAGAAACGGACACACAAAUGUCCGAUCUUUGUGUGCGACACUGAAGCUACGAGCUACGAGCAUGAAUUUCGGCCCCGUUUUAACGCCUGUGCUAACGAGCCAAUCAGCACGUUUUCCACUGACCAUCCAAUCAGAGGAGGUCAAACUGUCCAAUCGAGGGCCAAAGGUUCUAGCGCGUUGUGGUUACUUCGUCCAUCUGUAGUAAGCUGGAGUCAACAUGGAGCAGCCGAGGGAGACGGGUCCAGUUUGUUCUCACGUCUUUUCUGACCAACAGAACAUCAGUCCAGCCCUGCGCUGUGGUCGGUAAGGAGAAAUAUUGGAACUGAAAUUGACAACAGACUGCAUAACUUGACUGUGGAUGACUGUUUAGCAUCCUUACACCUUCUCAUUUAGUUUAAAAUGCCACUCACACAUGAGUUAAACUAGGUAAUGCUUUAUUUUAUGUUCUGUGCUGUAGAGACUAUUGCAUAUCCUCAAGUCCUAAGAGGCAAUAAGAGAAGAGAUUGAAGGGAUGCAGUUUUGCCUUGUUGAUACCAAAGUCAGUAUUAUCACACUUUUAUUUAGACAUUUGAACUUCCUGGAAAAUUCCAAAUCUUGAAUGAGACUUUGAUAAUAAAUAGCAAUAAUAAUAAUAACUUAAGGACUUGGGAUUUAAAUGAGCUGUGAGGUUGGUUUUCUCUCCAUCACCCCCCUCACCCCCCUUCCACUCCUCCCGACCUCCUCCUUCCUGUCUCUAACUGCACACCGUCACUGUUGGUGACUCUGUGGCGACUCAGCAGUAAGUUCACACACAUGAAUGAAAUGUUGAAUUUCCACAGUGUGCCAUGAAGACGUCUUAUACACACUUAAUAAAGUGGGAGUGAAACACGUUUCAUGACUCCCGUGUGUUUCACAUAAAUCGAGCAACAACUGGAAAUGCAGUAUUAUUAAUGGGGGUAUUUGGUGAUUUUGAUUUUACACUCGCGGCUUAGUUGGAUUUCUUAUAUUGAAAAAACAAUCUAAUGUAUGUUUCCCUUUUGUCCUACUUGUGUCCUGCUGUCCAUCUGCUCUCCUCUAUCACAGUGGCGCUCUGUCUUUGGAAGUUUGAAAACUUUGCUGAGUGUAAAGAAGUGUAAAAGUAAUACCACUGCACACACUGGAUUAAUCCUCCCUGAUUCACAUUUUGUACCUAAUCUAUAAGCAUUCACAUUGUCUGAAUCAAUAAGUGUAUAUAAGUGCUUUGAAUCUGUAAGUAAUAGUAGCAUUGACAUAGUAUAUACAUAUAUAUAAUAUUCAUCCUUUGUGAUGUACCUUAAACUUUUGUUUGACCUUACAUAUCUGUAAUAUCCUCACAGGCUUGACAAAAAUAAAUUGAAUAGUGUAGAAACAUAAAUGUGAACUCUUUUCUGUGUUAAUCUACCAUUCCUAAGUGCUUUUGAUGACUAAAAGCAUCUAUCUUCUGAUCCUGCUACGUUAUCAUUAAUAUUGUGUUCAGUAUAUUGGCUGUGCACAGUAAAACAUUACAUUUGUGGUUUUGGAGCACAACAACAACGCCAAGGAAGGAGGUCAGCAGGAUGCAUCAUGGGUAUCACAGGUAUCAUAUGCUGGCAUUAAAGAGAGGACUUCACAUUGAUGAACUUUAAGAUCACAAUAACUGUAAUGUUGAAAGAAAAUGAAAGAAUAUUAUUUAUAUAAUUUAUUUGUCUUUUGUACAGAAAAUCACAUGAAAUGCCCGCAGCCGUACUGUCCUUAAUAUUAACGUUACUUGUUCAAACACACAACAACAAACAUUAGCCAACAGACUGCAGCUAGCUAACACAUUAGCUAAUAUGCAAAGAAGUAACUCUGGGAUGCACGCACAGCUGUCUUGAUAUCUCUCGUUAAUCACGAUGUAAAACUUUACUGGCAUGUUCCUGCUAAUCCCCCACCCCCCAAUUUCACAAGCUCAGAAUAUUAAUGACCCUAUGAAUACAUGAUUUGGGCCCGGGUCUGUUCCAGUCUGAGUCAGCUGGUGUUGAGUCGCCAGAUAAAAACAUAUAGGGUGUGUUAUGUAAAUAGUCUAAUCUGAAGUCUUCAGAUCCAGUCGCUGCUGUCGUUCUCACAAAGCUUUUUAAAAAGAUCCGAACAAAAAGCUUCUUACUCUCUGCAUGUUUAACCCAGAACCCUACUGAACAUCACAUGCCGUGGUAUUCAGGUAGGGAUAUAAGCUACACUAGAAUAGGACUGGUAGCUCAUUUAUGGCACUAUCAGCAGAUAAUGUCCCAUUUGCAACUUCAGUCACAACACAUAAGAAAUGUUUCAAAAUAUGAACUCUAGU
Long non-coding RNA from Siniperca chuatsi (mandarin fish), 2728 nucleotides. RefSeq lists it as uncharacterized. The record is from RefSeq and is a predicted model, not a curated record. The transcript has 2 exons. Lineage: Eukaryota; Metazoa; Chordata; Actinopteri; Centrarchiformes; Sinipercidae.